UCUAGAGCUUUAGUCUGGCUUCUCCGGGGAGAUGUUGGCUUUUUCUUCAGAUAACAACUGUUCUGCAGGGAAGCAGGAUGUCAGUGGAAGACAGACACGGAAGCCAUGGACAGACGUUGACAUGUAGUGUCAAUAUACUGAGAAAGCAGCUCUUAGAAGAAAGAACAGAGAUGAUACUGAGAAAGUACUAAAGAUCAGAUACCCAGAAGUGCAAACAAAUGUCAUCUAUUUAAGUAACCCACACAAUCCAAGAAGCAGUCUGAAGGGAGUUUGAUGCUAAAUUGCUCUGAAGACUUGGGAGGUAAAUCCUAAUCGUGUCAAAGAUUUGGCACAAAGACAUGUUUCAGGGUGAGUUAAUAAACAAACAUGCUGAUGGAUAGUAGUGAUAAGA
Molecule: long non-coding RNA, 391 nt
Organism: Lynx canadensis (Canada lynx)
Lineage: Eukaryota; Metazoa; Chordata; Mammalia; Carnivora; Felidae
Exons: 3
Source: RefSeq, a predicted model, not a curated record